ACGGUAGUGGUUGGGGCAGGUGCCUUGCCUGGGCCUGAUAAGCGUGAGGUCGGCAGUUCAAGUCUGCCCUUCCGUACCA
This 79-nucleotide transfer RNA is filed under the name Deinococcus peraridilitoris DSM 19664. RNAcentral describes it as "tRNA-Leu (CAA) (tRNA-Leu-CAA-2-1)". The record is from RNAcentral. Lineage: Bacteria; Thermotogati; Deinococcota; Deinococci; Deinococcales; Deinococcaceae.